CCGGCACGGGUGAGUAACACGUAUCCAACCUGCCGUCUACUCUUGGCCAGCCUUCUGAAAGGAAGAUUAAUACAAGAUGGCAUCAUGAGUCCGCAUGUUCACAUGAUUAAAGGUAUUCCGGUAGACGAUGGGGAUGCGUUCCAUUAGAUAGUAGGCGGGGUAACGGCCCACCUAGUCUUCGAUGGAUAGGGGUUCUGAGAGGAAGGUCCCCCACAUUGGAACUGAGACACGGUCCAA
RNAcentral lists this ribosomal RNA (237 nucleotides) under uncultured bacterium. Its description in RNAcentral is "partial 16S ribosomal RNA". It matches the Rfam family "Bacterial small subunit ribosomal RNA", at positions 100 to 334 of the family's 1533-position model. The record is from RNAcentral.